This 497-nucleotide ribosomal RNA is filed under the name uncultured bacterium. Its description in RNAcentral is "partial 16S ribosomal RNA". It matches the Rfam family "Bacterial small subunit ribosomal RNA", at positions 28 to 507 of the family's 1533-position model. The record is from RNAcentral.
GAUGAACGCUGGCGGCGUGCCUAAUACAUGCAAGUCGAGCGAACAGAUGAGGAGCUUGCUCCUCUGACGUUAGCGGCGGACGGGUGAGUAACACGUGGAUAACCUACCUAUAAGACUGGGAUAACUUCGGGAAACCGGAGCUAAUACCGGAUAAUAUAUUGAACCGCAUGGUUCAAUAGUGAAAGACGGUUUUGCUGUCACUUAUAGAUGGAUCCGCGCUGCAUUAGCUAGUUGGUAAGGUAACGGCUUACCAAGGCAACGAUGCGUAGCCGACCUGAGAGGGUGAUCGGCCCCACGGGAACUGAGACACGGUCCAGACUCCUACGGGAGGCAGCAGUAGGGAAUCUUCCGCAAUGGGCGAAAGCCUGACGGAGCAACGCCGCGUGAGUGAUGAAGAUCUUCGGAUCGUAAAACUCUGUUAUUAGGGAAGAACAAAUGUGUAAGUAACUAUGCACGUCUUGACGGUACCUAAUCAGAAAGCCACGGCUAACUACGUG